GACAGAGGUGCCAAGCGUUAGGCGGAAUCACUGGGCUUAAAGCGUGUGUAGGCGGAUUUGUAAGUACCUUGUGAAAUCCCACGGCUCAACCGUGGAACUGCUUGGUAUACUGGAUGUCUUGAGCCACUUAGGGGCUACCGGAACAAAUGGUGGAGCGGUGAAAUGCGUAGAUAUCAUUUGGAACGCCAAUGGUGAAAACAGGUAGCUGGGAGUGUGCUGACACUGAGACACGAAAGCCAGGGGAGCGAACGGG
Molecule: ribosomal RNA, 253 nt
Filed under: uncultured bacterium
Lineage: Bacteria
Description: partial 16S ribosomal RNA
Rfam family: Bacterial small subunit ribosomal RNA
Source: RNAcentral